AGCUCGAGUUUCUCUUCAUUGUCGCAUAAAUCUUUCGCCUUUUACUAAAGAUUACCGUGGAGGGAGCUUUUGCGAGUGACCUGUAUUUUUGGGGGCUCUGCUCACAGCAGAGCU
Small nuclear RNA from Cyprinus carpio carpio, 114 nucleotides. Its record names the gene U5. It matches the Rfam family "U5 spliceosomal RNA". From Rfam's summary of the family: U5 RNA is a component of both types of known spliceosome. The record is from Ensembl. NCBI's taxonomy places the organism in Eukaryota, Metazoa, Chordata, Actinopteri, Cypriniformes, Cyprinidae.